This 460-nucleotide ribosomal RNA is filed under the name Rhodotorula glutinis. RNAcentral describes it as "LSU rRNA". It matches the Rfam family "Eukaryotic large subunit ribosomal RNA", at positions 80 to 544 of the family's 3401-position model. The record is from RNAcentral. Lineage: Eukaryota; Fungi; Basidiomycota; Microbotryomycetes; Sporidiobolales; Sporidiobolaceae.
CUAGUAGCGGCGAGCGAAGCGGGAAGAGCUCAAAUUUAUAAUCUGGCACCUUCGGUGUCCGAGAUUGUAAUCUCUAGAAGUGUUUUCCGCGUUGGACCGCACACAAGUCUGUUGGAAUACAGCGGCAUAGUGGUGAGACCCCCGUAUAUGGUGCGGACGCCCAGCGCUUUGUGAUACAUUUUCAAUGAGUCGAGUUGUUUGGGAAUGCAGCUCAAAUUGGGUGGUAAAUUCCAUCUAAAGCUAAAUAUUGGCGAGAGACCGAUAGCGAACAAGUACCGUGAGGGAAAGAUGAAAAGCACUUUGGAAAGAGAGUUAACAGUACGUGAAAUUGUUGGAAGGGAAACGCUUGAAGUCAGACUUGCUUGCCGAAGCUUGCUUCUGUUUGCAGGCCACCAUCAUUUUUCCGGGAUGGAUAAUGACAGUUUGAAGGUAGCACUCUCGGCUGUGUUAUAUCUUUCCG